GAUGAACGCUGGCGGCGUGCCUAAUACAUGCAAGUCGAGCGAACAGACGAGGAGCUUGCUCCUCUGACGUUAGCGGCGGACGGGUGAGUAACACGUGGAUACCCUACCUAUAAGACUGGGAUAACUUCGGGAAACCGGAGCUAAUACCGGAUAAUAUAUUGAACCGCAUGGUUCAAUAGUGAAAGACGGUUUUGCUGUCACUUAUAGAUGGAUCCCGGCCGCAUUAGCUAGUUGGUAAGGUAACGGCUUACCAAGGCAACGAUGCGUAGCCGACGUGUGUGAGUGGUAGCCCGCACUGGAGCGUGAACGCGGUCCAGACUACUACGAGACGGCGCAGUAGGGUAUCUGCGGCAACGGUCGGAAACCUUACGGAAUAGCCCCGCGUGAGUGAUAAAGGUCUUCGGAUCGUAAAACUCUGUUAUUAGGUAAGAACAAAUGUGUAAGUAACUGUGCACGUCUUGACGGUAACUAGUCAGAAAGCCACGGCUAACUACGUG
This 497-nucleotide ribosomal RNA is filed under the name uncultured bacterium. RNAcentral describes it as "partial 16S ribosomal RNA". It matches the Rfam family "Bacterial small subunit ribosomal RNA", at positions 28 to 507 of the family's 1533-position model. The record is from RNAcentral.